Molecule: ribosomal RNA, 407 nt
Filed under: uncultured bacterium
Lineage: Bacteria
Description: partial 16S ribosomal RNA
Rfam family: Bacterial small subunit ribosomal RNA
Source: RNAcentral
AUUGAACGCUGGCGGCAGGCCUAACACAUGCAAGUCGAGCGGAGCGACGGACGGGUGAGUAAUGCCUAGGAAUCUGCCUGGUAGUGGGGGAUAACGUCCGGAAAGGGGCGCUAAUUCCGCAUACUCUCAAAUGAGCGUACGUGGGAUUAACUAGUUGGUGGGGGAAAGGCUUACCAAGCCGACGAUCCGUACCUGGUCUGAGAGGAUGAUCAGUCACACUGGAACUGAGACACGGUCCAGACUCCUACGGGAGGCAGCAGUGGGGAAGAUUGGACAAUGGGCGAAAGCCUGAUCCAGCCAUGCCGCGUGUGUGAAGAAGGUCUUCGGAUUGUAAAGCACUUUAAGUUGGGAGGCGUUACCAACAGAAUAAGCACCGGCUAACUUCGUGCCAGCAGCCGCGGUAAUAC